This 617-nucleotide ribosomal RNA is filed under the name Bacillus mojavensis. Its description in RNAcentral is "bacterial SSU rRNA". It matches the Rfam family "Bacterial small subunit ribosomal RNA", at positions 62 to 661 of the family's 1533-position model. Lineage: Bacteria; Bacillati; Bacillota; Bacilli; Caryophanales; Bacillaceae. The record is from RNAcentral.
UCGAGCGGACAGAUGGGAGCUUGCUCCCUGAUGUUAGCGGCGGACGGGUGAGUAACACGUGGGUAACCUGCCUGUAAGACUGGGAUAACUCCGGGAAACCGGGGCUAAUACCGGAUGCUUGUUUGAACCGCAUGGUUCAAACAUAAAAGGUGGCUUCGGCUACCACUUACAGAUGGACCCGCGGCGCAUUAGCUAGUUGGUGAGGUAACGGCUCACCAAGGCAACGAUGCGUAGCCGACCUGAGAGGGUGAUCGGCCACACUGGGACUGAGACACGGCCCAGACUCCUACGGGAGGCAGCAGUAGGGAAUCUUCCGCAAUGGACGAAAGUCUGACGGAGCAACGCCGCGUGAGUGAUGAAGGUUUUCGGAUCGUAAAGCUCUGUUGUUAGGGAAGAACAAGUACCGUUCGAAUAGGGCGGUACCUUGACGGUACCUAACCAGAAAGCCACGGCUAACUACGUGCCAGCAGCCGCGGUAAUACGUAGGUGGCAAGCGUUGUCCGGAAUUAUUGGGCGUAAAGGGCUCGCAGGCGGUUUCUUAAGUCUGAUGUGAAAGCCCCCGGCUCAACCGGGGAGGGUCAUUGGAAACUGGGGAACUUGAGUGCAGAAGAGGAGAG